This 483-nucleotide long non-coding RNA is filed under the name Physcomitrium patens. RNAcentral describes it as "long non-coding RNA (PPAT_LNC009948)". Lineage: Eukaryota; Viridiplantae; Streptophyta; Bryopsida; Funariales; Funariaceae. The record is from RNAcentral.
UUUUGUGUGAUUUCGAGUUUUUAUGGAAAAGAUAUGAAUGUUCAAAGAUAAGGUGUCAAUUUCAUACCUACUGUCACUUCUUUUGGGCAUUACAUACGAAUACGGAGAGCAACGGAAGAUCGGCGACUGGAUUUGGAGGGAGCAUUUUUUCGGCUACACAUUCUACUUACUGUAUAGUGAAUUCUAAGAUUGGGUGAAGGAGUUAUGAGGCGUUGAAGACAGCACUUGUAAUUUGAAGGCAGUAAGUAUAUCGUAUGUUGCUAGUUAUGGGUGAAGCUAUAUCUUGAGUUUUUGGACGAAUUUUUGGCUCAAAAUUUCCAUAAGUGUGUGUAAUUGGGUUAAGAAGCUUUAAAUCAAAGUUUCAUAGUAUUUGAAUAAUUACUUUGUGAGAUAUGAAGGAAGUUGUACACGGGUGUAAAAAAGCUAGGGUUUGAAGCUAUAGUUAGGGUUUUCAAGAUAUCACAAGAUUUAAGACGAAUUUAC